UGGGGAAUAUUGCACAAUGGGGGAAACCCUGAUGCAGCGACGCCGCGUGAACGAAGAAGGUAUUCGUAUCGUAAAGUUCUGUCCUAUGGGAAGAUAAUGACAGUACCAUAGAAGAAAGCUCCGGCUAAAUGCGUGCCAGCAGCCGCGGUAAUACGUAUGGAGCGAGCGUUGUCCGGAAUUAUUGGGCGUAAAGGGUACGCAGGCGGUUUAAUAAGUCGAAUGUUAAAGAUCGGGGCUCAACCCCGCAAAGCAUUGGAAACUGAUAAACUGGAGUAGUGGAGAGGAAAGUGGAAUUCCUAGUGUAGUGGUGAAAUACGUAGAUAUUAGGAGGAAUACCAGUAGCGAAGGCGACUUUCUGGACACAAACUGACGCUGAGGUACGAAAGCGUGGGGAGCAAACAGG
This 403-nucleotide ribosomal RNA is filed under the name bacterium. RNAcentral's name for it is "partial 16S ribosomal RNA". It matches the Rfam family "Bacterial small subunit ribosomal RNA", at positions 355 to 776 of the family's 1533-position model. The record is from RNAcentral.